AUUACAAGUAAGAGCAGAAAAAGCCAUUUAUUCAGGAGACAUGACCUCCUAACUUCUUCGAGAAAUACUUACAUAUUUUGUGAAAACUGACUCAGAAUUCUACCCUCAUCACAUCUUACCACACAGAAUAAUCAUGCUUCUCUCUGAUCCAGCUGAUCUUGGAUUCCCUUCCGUACAAUGACACAGCUUCGCUAAAAAGAAUGAUAAAUGUUCCUCCUCUAUUCCCAAGAGCAGUCUAUGGUUUGUGGUUAAAACAUACUGAAAGGAAUAUGAAACAUGGGUCUGAAUCUAACCUAAGUCAACGGAGGACUUUGAAAACAAGUUGCUUAUGCAGCCAAAGAGAAUGCUGUAAUCUACCACAGCCAUAUCACAUGCCAUUUCAAAAGCGAACAUUAGCCUUCACUGCCUUUUAUAGGAAGAUAAAGAACUCGGCCUGUGCAUGUGCAUUAGACGGGACAGAUACCUGCUGAAACCUUUAUGCUGAUUGCACUCAGGUUUUCGUACAAGGUGUGGCUGGAGGAGGGCUCCAAGACUGCUGUCCUGACUGCUGUUUUCUAGGUCAGAGAGAACUAGGAAGAAGGGAAAGGCUGGGCUUUCUCAGAGAGAGCUGUGCACAUGCAGCGAACAAGGAUGCAGGACAGGCUGAAGAUGGAGAGAAUCCAGCAAGUGGGGGGUUUUGACAACCAGCAGAAACUGGAAGACUGUGAGAAGUAAAGGAGGUACGCUGUCAGGUCUCACAGGUGAUGGAAGAAACUUCUCAGGUACACAGAAGACUGUAACAUUUGCUGAAAAUCAAAAAGUUGUUAAUUUACAGAAAACAGACAAAGUAAAAGAGCCAUCCUCCAACAAUAUAUAGAGGGGAAGGGCAGAUGAGUUUAUGAAUCCCUUUCAUUUCUCUGUUGUUCACUUUAAGACAAUUGAUGACAAUCAUUAAAGGGUUAAUUGCU
Cygnus olor (mute swan) is the source of this 947-nucleotide long non-coding RNA. RefSeq lists it as uncharacterized. The record is from RefSeq and is a predicted model, not a curated record. Lineage: Eukaryota; Metazoa; Chordata; Aves; Anseriformes; Anatidae. The transcript is spliced from 2 exons.